UUGGCCACACUAUUGUGAUAAUCUUGGCCAGGAUCACUUUAUAUCAUGUUGGACCACCUUGGAAUUCGUAGACUUUUAUCGUCGAAGGGUGUACUCACAGAACACAAUGAGUGGAUUGUGCUUUUCUACACUUCUGUCCAUAGCAGUGGGAUAUGUUUUCUGCACUGCUCGGCUACCCUCUAAUGUAUGUGUCCUGCACUGUGCAGCUACCCUCUAAUGCACUACUCAAUGUUCAGUCUCUUUCUGUACAAAUGACUUGAUCUAAUUAUUAUGAAUGACCUGUGAGUGUGUUGCUUUCUAUAUAAAUGACUUGCUCUAUUUUUGAUCUGUCAGACUGUGUUUUUGGUCCAUUCGUUUUUGCCAAACUUAAGCGUCGAGCUUUGGGCUACCCUAUGAAAUUUCUUGGAUCUGUUUAGGUCGCGAUGGCUGACAAAGAGAUCUAGGUUCAUGGCUCGCCAGGUUCAGUUGGUUCCACUAACAGCCGUCUCCGAGCACUUGCAUAGGUCAGCUGAUAUACGUCAUGCCCCCUCUUUGGUUUUACUGGACUGCUGCAAAAAUAUGAUCAGUGUGACUCCGCAAUUUUUAUAAUCAAAGGAAGUACUCACAGAUGUAAACACUGAUAUAGGGUUUGUAGAUGCUUAGAGAUAGCAGUAAAUGAGUAGUAAUAUUUUGAUCCAGACAGUGUGAUGAUUUAAACUCCUUUUUUAUAUGACCUUCAUGUAGUUAAUUGCUUUGUUGUCACUAUUGCUGCUGCAUGAUUUGUUCAGAGAGAGUUGCCAACUGAGCUUAUAUUUUUGUUAACUUACUGAAUGAUAACCACCUUUGCAUCUGUUUUUGUCGAAAGAACUUGAAUCAUUUUCUGAACUUACACUAAAUAUGUUCAUGUUUGUGUUCCAAUUGGAAGCAUUUUUUUUGGUAACUGAUAUUUGAUUCCAGAUUAUCAGUUUCUUUAAGUAGUGCAUGUUCAUGUUUGCAUAUCAGUAGGAAGCCAAAAAUAUUUCUGUUAAAGUACUGCAAGAUAACCAGACUCACCUUUGCAUAUACAUUUUGUUCAAAAAAAAGAAUCAAGCACUGGACUUGCACUAAUUAUGUUCAUGUUUGUGUUUCCGUGGGAAGCAAAAUUCAUUUCUGUUAAAUUAAUGCAAGGUAAUCAGACUCACCUUUGCAUAUAUAUUUUAGUUGAAAGAGAAUUGAACCAUAUAUGCUGGGUACCGAUAAAGUUAUAUAUUGGUUCCUUCUGUUGCUUUAUUUAGCUUCUAUUGGUUGUGUCUCUCACGAAAACUAACUUAUGUUGAGUUUCCAUUGGAUGUGUCUCUGUCCAGGUUGAGUUGAGCACAUGUAUACUUACCUCAGUCGGUGAGGUUUCUCUACCUUUGCUCUGUGACUCAGAUUGAUUUCUUUUCUAGGCUUUUACUGUAUCAUGUGUUUGUACCAUUGUUGCAUGUCUCUAAUUGUUUAUGUUGCUGAAAGCACAACCACUAAUAUAUACUAUGUUGUUGAUAGAUAGAAGAUUUUAGAAGCGCAUUGUUUCAGAAUUAUGAAAUUUAUUUUUGCAUGUAUUAUGUUGUUGUUGCCAAGAUCUAGCAUUCUAAUUGUUGAUCCUUUUCUAGAAAAUAAGAUCCCAUGGUUAUUUAUGUUGUCACUUCGCAAGCAAAAAUAAUUAUGUGUGGUUUCAUGGACUCUUACCUUAUUGAUGGGCACCACGCAGAGUUUGAGGAGAUGUAGGCUAGCGUGCCACCUCUCUCGCUUUUCAAGUCACAGCUGAGCCGCCUUCCUUUUGCUUCAGAGGCUCCAUGUGUCACCAUAGAUCCGUGUCACAACAUGCAAGCAAAUCAAAUGAAGGAGUGUGGACAAAGUUAUAUAUCGAGCAAAUCGGAUGAAGGCGUGUGGACAAAGUUAUAUAUCCAAUAGUCAACCAUGUAGUUUACUAUUUUGCAGUAUGAAAAACAGUGUACAUAAGUUAUCUGGGAGUAAUAAUAUGGCCUGCUUUUGGUUUCUAUCA
Long non-coding RNA from Triticum aestivum (bread wheat), 2002 nucleotides. RefSeq lists it as uncharacterized. NCBI's taxonomy places the organism in Eukaryota, Viridiplantae, Streptophyta, Magnoliopsida, Poales, Poaceae. The transcript has 2 exons. The record is from RefSeq and is a predicted model, not a curated record.